This 1242-nucleotide ribosomal RNA is filed under the name Lactiplantibacillus plantarum. RNAcentral's name for it is "bacterial SSU rRNA". It matches the Rfam family "Bacterial small subunit ribosomal RNA", at positions 109 to 1338 of the family's 1533-position model. Lineage: Bacteria; Bacillati; Bacillota; Bacilli; Lactobacillales; Lactobacillaceae. The record is from RNAcentral.
AGUAACACGUGGGAAACCUGCCCAGAAGCGGGGGAUAACACCUGGAAACAGAUGCUAAUACCGCAUAACAACUUGGACCGCAUGGUCCGAGUUUGAAAGAUGGCUUCGGCUAUCACUUUUGGAUGGUCCCGCGGCGUAUUAGCUAGAUGGUGGGGUAACGGCUCACCAUGGCAAUGAUACGUAGCCGACCUGAGAGGGUAAUCGGCCACAUUGGGACUGAGACACGGCCCAAACUCCUACGGGAGGCAGCAGUAGGGAAUCUUCCACAAUGGACGAAAGUCUGAUGGAGCAACGCCGCGUGAGUGAAGAAGGGUUUCGGCUCGUAAAACUCUGUUGUUAAAGAAGAACAUAUCUGAGAGUAACUGUUCAGGUAUUGACGGUAUUUAACCAGAAAGCCACGGCUAACUACGUGCCAGCAGCCGCGGUAAUACGUAGGUGGCAAGCGUUGUCCGGAUUUAUUGGGCGUAAAGCGAGCGCAGGCGGUUUUUUAAGUCUGAUGUGAAAGCCUUCGGCUCAACCGAAGAAGUGCAUCGGAAACUGGGAAACUUGAGUGCAGAAGAGGACAGUGGAACUCCAUGUGUAGCGGUGAAAUGCGUAGAUAUAUGGAAGAACACCAGUGGCGAAGGCGGCUGUCUGGUCUGUAACUGACGCUGAGGCUCGAAAGUAUGGGUAGCAAACAGGAUUAGAUACCCUGGUAGUCCAUACCGUAAACGAUGAAUGCUAAGUGUUGGAGGGUUUCCGCCCUUCAGUGCUGCAGCUAACGCAUUAAGCAUUCCGCCUGGGGAGUACGGCCGCAAGGCUGAAACUCAAAGGAAUUGACGGGGGCCCGCACAAGCGGUGGAGCAUGUGGUUUAAUUCGAAGCUACGCGAAGAACCUUACCAGGUCUUGACAUACUAUGCAAAUCUAAGAGAUUAGACGUUCCCUUCGGGGACAUGGAUACAGGUGGUGCAUGGUUGUCGUCAGCUCGUGUCGUGAGAUGUUGGGUUAAGUCCCGCAACGAGCGCAACCCUUAUUAUCAGUUGCCAGCAUUAAGUUGGGCACUCUGGUGAGACUGCCGGUGACAAACCGGAGGAAGGUGGGGAUGACGUCAAAUCAUCAUGCCCCUUAUGACCUGGGCUACACACGUGCUACAAUGGAUGGUACAACGAGUUGCGAACUCGCGAGAGUAAGCUAAUCUCUUAAAGCCAUUCUCAGUUCGGAUUGUAGGCUGCAACUCGCCUACAUGAAGUCGGAAUCGCUAG